Molecule: ribosomal RNA, 546 nt
Filed under: uncultured Rhizophagus
Lineage: Eukaryota; Fungi; Glomeromycota; Glomeromycetes; Glomerales; Glomeraceae
Description: SSU rRNA
Rfam family: Eukaryotic small subunit ribosomal RNA
Source: RNAcentral
UUGGAGGGCAAGUCUGGUGCCAGCAGCCGCGGUAAUUCCAGCUCCAAUAGCGUAUAUUAAAGUUGUUGCAGUUAAAAAGCUCGUAGUUGAAUUUCGGGGUUAGUAGGUUGGUCAUGCCUCUGGUAUGUACUGGUCUCACUGAUUCCUCCUUCCUGGUGAACCUUAAUGCCAUUAAUUUGGUGUUUUGGGGAAUUUGGACUGUUACUUUGAAAAAAUUAGAGUGUUUAAAGCAAGCUAACGCUUGAAUACAUUAGCAUGGAAUAAUGAAAUAGGACGUUCGAUCCUAUUUUGUUGGUUUCUAGGAUUGACGUAAUGAUUAAUAGGGAUAGUUGGGGGCAUUAGUAUUCAAUUGUCAGAGGUGAAAUUCUUGGAUUUAUUGAAGACUAACUACUGCGAAAGCAUUUGCCAAGGAUGUUUUCAUUAAUCAAGAACGAAGGUUAGGGGAUCGAAGACGAUCAGAUACCGUCAUAGUCUUAACCAUAAACUAUGCCGACUAGGAAUCGGGCGACGUUAUUUUCAUGACUCGCUCGGCGCCUUACGGGAAAC